GACGAAGGGGGCUAGCGUUGUUCGGAAUUACUGGGCGUAAAGCGCGUGUAGGCGGUUGUCCAAGUCGGAUGUGAAAGCCCUGGGCUCAACCCAGGAAGUGCAUUCGAAACUCCCGAGCUGGAGUCCCGGAGAGGAAGGCGGAAUUCUCGGUGUAGAGGUGAAAUUCGUAGAUAUCGAGAGGAACAUCGGUGGCGAAGGCGGCCUUCUGGACGGUGACUGACGCUGAGACGCGAAGGCGUGGGGAGCAAACAGG
This 253-nucleotide ribosomal RNA is filed under the name uncultured bacterium. Its description in RNAcentral is "partial 16S ribosomal RNA". It matches the Rfam family "Bacterial small subunit ribosomal RNA", at positions 524 to 776 of the family's 1533-position model. The record is from RNAcentral.